AUUGAACGCUGGCGGCAGGCCUAGCACAUGCAAGUCGAGCGGAUGAAGGGAGCUUGCUCCUGGAUUCAGCGGCGGACGGGUGAGUAAUGCCUAGGAAUCUGCCUGGUAGUGGGGAAUAACGUCCGGAAACGGGCGCUAAUACCGCAUACGUCCUGAGGGAGAAAGUGGGGGAUCUUCGGACCUCACGCUAUCAGAUGAGCCUAGGUCGGAUUAGCUAGUUGGUGGGGUAAAGGCCUACCAAGGCGACGAUCCGUAACUGGUCUGAGAGGAUGAUCAGUCACACUGGAACUGAGACACGGUCCAGACUCCUACGGGAGGCAGCAGUGGGGAAUAUUGGACAAUGGGCGAAAGCCUGAUCCAGCCAUGCCGCGUGUGUGAAGAAGGUCUUCGGAUUGUAAAGCACUUUAAGUUGGGAGGAAGGGCAGUAAGUUAAUACCUUGCUGUUUUGACGUUACCAACAGAAUAGGCACCGGCUAACUUCGUG
Molecule: ribosomal RNA, 484 nt
Filed under: uncultured bacterium
Lineage: Bacteria
Description: partial 16S ribosomal RNA
Rfam family: Bacterial small subunit ribosomal RNA
Source: RNAcentral